RNAcentral lists this ribosomal RNA (324 nucleotides) under Triticum aestivum (bread wheat). Its description in RNAcentral is "partial small subunit ribosomal RNA". Lineage: Eukaryota; Viridiplantae; Streptophyta; Magnoliopsida; Poales; Poaceae. The record is from RNAcentral.
AUGGGCGGCAUUGCUGCUGGUCGAUGCCGGAUCAGUGGCCUGGCCUUGCUCGUCUGCGCCGUGCUCUUGUCGGCGACGAUGGCGAACGGCAUCAGGACUGGGGCAGUUGGUGGCACGGGUGCUCCUGGUCCGGCUGCUGCCGCGGCACAGGCUGCCACCCUAGCUGCGGCUCCUCCCGUCGCUGCCGCUGCAACGACGCCACCUUCGGAGGGAGCUGCAUUGGAGGAUCCAUACAAGAACAGCAAGAGGAAGGUGCCGAACGGGCCCGAUCCGAUUCACAAUCGGAGAGCCAGAUGGGGAGACGCACCGGCAAGGAGAGUGUAA